Molecule: long non-coding RNA, 292 nt
Filed under: Nicotiana benthamiana
Lineage: Eukaryota; Viridiplantae; Streptophyta; Magnoliopsida; Solanales; Solanaceae
Description: long non-coding RNA (NBEN_LNC004781)
Source: RNAcentral
GACCUCUUUUCAUUUGUUUUGGAUAUUACCAAACCUAGCCUAGCCUUCAUAAAUCACACUAAAGCGGACACCCAACUAUGGAAAAGCCUCCUUAAGGGUGGGUUAGGUUAGUCAAUCCGGCCCGAGACGCGUUCGUUGACAAAACCGCCGUAGGAAUUCCUACUUUUCAAUAGAGCGGAGGCGAACUGAUCAACGAGAAAGAGGCCCUACUCACUACAAACGAAUACACCACAAGAUCGAACUGCACUCAUGCCUCUCCCGCAUCAAGUUGACCGCCCCCCCUACGUAGUGA